AACGAACGCUGGCGGCAGGCCUAACACAUGCAAGUCGAACGCUCCGCAAGGGGAGUGGCGCACGGGUGAGUAACACGUGGGAACCUACCUUCUGGUACGGAACAACCAAGGGAAACUUUGGCUAAGACCGUAUACGACCUCCGGGUGAAAGAUUGAUCGCCGGAAGAGGGGCCCGCGUCCGAUUAGGUAGUUGGUGAGGUAACGGCUCACCAAGCCUUCGAUCGGUAGCUGGUCUGAGAGGAUGACCAGCCACACUGGGACUGAGACACGGCCCAGACUCCUACGGGAGGCAGCAGUGGGGAAUAUUGGACAAUGGGCGCAAGCCUGAUCCAGCCAUGCCGCGUGAGUGAUGAAGGCCUUCGGUUGUAAGU
This 371-nucleotide ribosomal RNA is filed under the name uncultured bacterium. RNAcentral's name for it is "bacterial SSU rRNA". It matches the Rfam family "Bacterial small subunit ribosomal RNA", at positions 29 to 430 of the family's 1533-position model. The record is from RNAcentral.